Molecule: ribosomal RNA, 415 nt
Filed under: uncultured bacterium
Lineage: Bacteria
Description: bacterial SSU rRNA
Rfam family: Bacterial small subunit ribosomal RNA
Source: RNAcentral
UGGGGAAUAUUGGACAAUGGGGGCAACCCUGAUCCAGCGACGCCGCGUGGGGGAUGAAGGUCUUCGGAUUGUAAACCCCUUUCGGGAGGGAAGAUGGAACGAGCAAUCGUUCGGACGGUACCUCCAGAAGCAGCCACGGCUAACUUCGUGCCAGCAGCCGCGGUAAUACGAAGGUGGCAAGCGUUGUUCGGAUUCACUGGGCGUACAGGGAGCGUAGGCGGUUGGGUAAGCCCUCCGUGAAAUCUCCGGGCCUAACCCGGAAAGUGCAGAGGGGACUGCUCAGCUAGAGGAUGGGAGAGGAGCGCGGAAUUCCCGGUGUAGCGGUGAAAUGCGUAGAGAUCGGGAGGAAGGCCGGUGGCGAAGGCGGCGCUCUGGAACAUUUCUGACGCUGAGGCUCGAAAGCGUGGGGAGCAAA